Molecule: ribosomal RNA, 430 nt
Filed under: uncultured marine bacterium
Lineage: Bacteria
Description: bacterial SSU rRNA
Rfam family: Bacterial small subunit ribosomal RNA
Source: RNAcentral
AAUUUUCCGCAAUGGGCGAAAGCCUGACGGAGCAAUACCGCGUGGGGGAGGAAGGCUCUUGGGUCGUAAACCUCUUUUCUCAGGGAAGAAUUCCAUGACGGUACCUGAGGAAUCAGCAUCGGCUAACUCCGUGCCAGCAGCCGCGGUAAUACGGAGGAUGCAAGCGUUAUCCGGAAUGAUUGGGCGUAAAGCGUCCGCAGGUGGCAGUGUAAGUCUGCUGUCAAAGGUCAGGGCUUAACCCUGAACAGGCAGUGGAAACUACACAGCUAGAGUGCGGUGGGGGCAGAGGGAAUUCCCAGUGUAGCGGUGAAAUGCGUAGAGAUUGGGAAGAACACCGGUGGCGAAAGCGCUCUGCUAGGCCGCAACUGACACUCAUGGACGAAAGCUAGGGGAGCGAAUGGGAUUAGAUACCCCAGUAGUCCUAGCCGUA